This 1800-nucleotide long non-coding RNA is filed under the name Homo sapiens (human). RNAcentral's name for it is "non-protein coding NALT1:26". Lineage: Eukaryota; Metazoa; Chordata; Mammalia; Primates; Hominidae. The record is from RNAcentral.
GCUGAUCGGGUGCGGGUGCGACUGCCUGUGUGCCUCCAUUGGCAUCUCUGCCUGUGGGCCCCAGGCCAGAAGUAAUGGCCCAUGUAGCCCAGGCCCGGGGGCCAGUCCUCAGCAUUUUGCGGAGGGGCGGCCUGGGAGGGGAGGAGGGGAUCCCUGGAUAGGGGGUCUCCCCUGGUCUGCCCCAGCUGUGCCGACAGCACCUCCACCUUGGGCCUCCAUCCUCUACCAGCAGAGAAGAGAGUGGCCCAUUCGGUGUCCACCCGUCAGGCCACCCAGCAGCCAGGCACGCUCAUAAGCCCGCGUUACGGAUGGUGCGGCCGGGUGCACAGGCCCGAGGGAAGCACAGGCCUCGGCCUCCCAGCUCCCAACCCCUGCACCACCCACAGCCGGGAGUACCCCAUGGACAGCUGUGGCCGAGGAGAAGCCAGGGAUGAGGGGGAUGGGCCUCACCUCCCCACCAGCCUGGGAAGGGGGUAGGCCCCUGGCAAGUAGGCCCCUCCUUUGCGGCUGCUGUGGGGACUUUCGAGAGCAGAGCACACCCCUAAGUGCGUGGAGAGGAGGGAAGCUGAGGCUCAGAGACAUCAUGAGGAUGCCAGCUCAAGGCCCAGCCAGGCCUUGGUCCUCAGCUGCUGUCAUCCAGUAGGGUAAGUGGGACCCCCAGGAGGUGUUGGGGGACACUCCUCCCCUCCCCCACACUCACAGUCUGUUCACCGCCCAAGGCAGCAGGCUGGACUCGGUGCAGGGACCAUGGCUUGGCGUGGCCAGGUUGGAGUGGCCCCUGGGACUGAAAGCAGGGGGCGUGGGGGCUCUGAGGCGGGGCCGAGUGCGGGGACGUCCUGUGGCGGGUACCCUGCUGGGUCCUGGGUGGGGGCCACCACCAGGCAGCUGUGGGAACAUUCCAGACCACCUAGGAGUAGGGCCCCUUCACCGUUUGAAGCUGACUGUAAAAAACAUCUGACCUGUGUGCAAAGCUCAAGCCCAGAGGCCUCCAGGGUGUCCAGCCUCCAGGGUGCCUCCUACGCAGCCUCCACGUCCCCAUCCACUGCAGCCCCUGACCAUCGGGCACACCGUGGGGCCUUCGCUGGCCGCCGGGCCUCAGGUUCUGCUGCACCAAGUGAUUUUUAAAGCCCCAUCUGCCUUUCUCCACUUAUAAAGAACUUGGGACAUUUCCUCGAGGUUGGGCAUUUUUCCAGAUGUGGUUUCAGUGUCUCGCUUGCUACCUGGUCCCCUGUGCUGGGCGGUCCGCUGUGACGCACCUGGCAGUCCUUGCUCUAGGAUGGAUUCGGGCCGGCCCUUGUUCUGAGAACAGAGAACGGCCCUUGUUCUGAGGAGGCUGGGGUCUGGAAUCUGCUUCCUGGUCCCCUGCUGUGUGCAGACAGCCACCGUCACCCAGGCCCAGGGGUGCCUGCAGGUGCUGGGCAUCUCACCCUGGCCCCCACAGGGGCUCCCCAUGCCCUGCACCCCUCGGUCUGUGCCGGGGACUUCCCUGCUCUGCUGUUGCAGGCCUCGUCCUUUGCCGAGGGGGUCUCUUUCCCACGUGUCCCUGAGACUCCUCAGCCAUCCCAGAGGCUCUCGGCCGUCUGAGCACCCCUGACCAUGAAGCCUUCCUGGCCCACUCUCUGUGUGUGAGGCAGAGCCCAUCCCUACCAUUCCGACCCACACCAGAGGCUCCGGAAGGUUUGCUGACUGACCUGUGACUGCAAGAAGCUGAAGGAAUGUGGGCGCAGACCCGGCAGGGGCUUUUCUUGGUGCAAAGUCAACUGGCUGUCCAUGCAAGCCUGCUGCUGUGGCCAGCCCUCC